UACGAAGGGGGCUAGCGUUGUUCGGAUUUACUGGGCGUAAAGGGCGCGUAGGCGGCUUUGUGCGUCACCCGUGAAAGCCCCCGGCUCAACCGGGGAGGGUCGGGUGAAACGGCGGAGCUGGAGGCAGCGAGAGGCUGGUGGAAUUCCUGGUGUAGCGGUGAAAUGCGCAGAUAUCAGGAGGAACACCGGUGGCGAAGGCGGUUCUCUGGGCCUUACCUGACACUGAGGAGCGAAAGCGUGGGGAGCGAACAGG
This 253-nucleotide ribosomal RNA is filed under the name uncultured bacterium. RNAcentral's name for it is "partial 16S ribosomal RNA". It matches the Rfam family "Bacterial small subunit ribosomal RNA", at positions 524 to 776 of the family's 1533-position model. The record is from RNAcentral.